Salvia miltiorrhiza (redroot sage) is the source of this 2018-nucleotide RNA transcript. RefSeq lists it as uncharacterized. The record is from RefSeq and is a predicted model, not a curated record. The transcript has 3 exons. NCBI's taxonomy places the organism in Eukaryota, Viridiplantae, Streptophyta, Magnoliopsida, Lamiales, Lamiaceae.
UUGCCGUUUCUAAACAUUGUUUUUCUCUUCUUUUUUCUUUUUGUGCAUCAUCUAAUAAUGUUAGGUAAAUAUCAUAUUUACUUGGGCAGAUAAGCUUUCCAGACCUUAACAAUUACGACACGGAUGAAGCUUGGCCAUUAAUUCUGGAUAAUUUUGUUGAUUGGACGAAACGACAAGAAAAUGUGGUUAGUGCAUGAGUUUGGGUCAAGAUUGCAGGUUUUCCAGAUUCCUAAAUGCGGAACGAACAACUAUGGAAGAGUAUACUUGACAUGCCGGCUGUAUAAUUUUUCUUGGACACAUCUAUAAUACGCCAUUCUUUCCCAAACUUUACUUGUGUAUCUUUUGUGCUUGGCUUCCUGGUUUUGUAUUUUCUUUUUUUAAAUCAAUGGCCAUUUUUAGUGAAAGAUAGGGGGAUCAUAUUUUACUUAUAAUGAUGAGUUUAGAAUGGCCAUUUGGCUUUUACCAGUACUGUUUUCUGCAUUUUUAUGAAUGAAUGAAUGAUGUAAUUCCAGACUUUGCAUGUAUGAAGCAAAUUAAGAGCAUAUUUGAACCUUAGGGUUCCAAGAAAAAGGACAGAAAAUAACGAAGCCGGCAAAACGAAGAGAAAUCAAUACUCUAAUAAAGCCAAGAAACAUCGAUCUGAACUAUGACAGAAUCUUCGAUGAAUGUUAGGUUCCUCGUUAACAUAUUUAGGCUUCGCCUGCUCCACGAUCCUUCAACAGCCACCAAACAAUGGCUGUCGAGAAAAUGUUGUCACUUCUCAUCAUCUCUUUCGCUGCUCAACACAUCACAGCCUCGUCGCAAAUGGCAGCGCCGCGUGCCGGCGUAAAAGGGGCGUACUGGCUUUCAUCUUCAACACUUGCACCAUCAGCCAUACCUACUUCCUACUUCACCCACUUAUUCUACGCCUUCGUUCAAGUCGACGCCACCAGUUUCCAGCUCCUGAUCACGCCGCUCGACGAGGAGCUCAUGCCGGCCUUCACCUCCGCCGUCCUCCCCGCCAAGGCCCUCCUCUCCAUCGGCGGAGCAGCGACGGAUCCUCGAAUCUUGUCCAACAUGUCGAGCGACUCCGACAACCGGGCCGCAUUCAUCCAGUCGUCCAUCCGCACAGCAAGAGCUUACGGCUUCGACGGGCUCGACCUCGACUGGGAGUUCCCCGCCGAUCCACAGGAGAUGGCCAACCUCGCCUCUCUCUAUGAGGAGUGGCGCGCCGCCCUCAACCAGGAAUCACUAGCCUCAUCCAAACCGCCGCUGCUCCUCUCCGCCGCCGUAUACUUCGCCUCCAACUUCUUCAUCCCCGGGAACGUCCAGCGGAGCUAUCCCGGCGAGGCGAUCAGACAGCACGUGGACUUCGUGAGCCCGAUGUGCUACGACUACGACGGCGCGUGGCAGCCGAACCUCACCGGAGCUCACGCCUUGCUCUACUGACAGCAAGCAGCAACGUCAGCACGAGCUACGGGAUAUCCGACGUGGAAGGGAGACGGCGUUCCGGUCGGGAAGAUAGUGAUGGGGAUGCCGGCGUAUGGGAGGGCGUGGCAGCUCAAGGAUCCGAACCUGCACGGGAUCGGAGCUCCCCGCUGCCGGAAUCUGGCAGCAGGCGACUCUAGGAGUGAUGAAUUAUUCAGCUAUAGUGGAAUUCAACCGGGAGAGUAACGCCACGGUGGUUUUCGACAACACCACCGUGUCGGCGUACUCGUACGCCGGAACGGAUUGGAUAGGAUACGACGACGUUACUACGGUUGAAUACAAGAUCAAAUUUGCUAAGGAGCAGGGGCUUGGGGGUUACUUUUUCUGGGCCCUUGGCUUUGACAGCGACUGGGAUCUUGCCAGAGCAGCUUCCGCAGCAUGGGAUAGUAACUGAUGAUUCGGCAUCGGAGAGCAUCCAACAAUGAUGAUAGCUUAUCAUGAAUAGCGCUUGAUAUAUAUAUGUUUGUUUAUUUGUUUACUGCUUUUCAUUAUUUGCUCUUGUUCGCCUCAAACUUCAUCUCUUUGUUUAUAGAGCAUUCUAUUUGAAGAAA